AUUGAACGCUGGCGGCAGGCCUAACACAUGCAAGUCGAGCGAGCGGCGGACGGGUGAGUAAUGUAUGGGGACUGCCUGAUAGAGGGGGAUAACUACUGGAAACGGUGGCUAAUACCGCUUACUAUCGGAUAACCCAUAUGGGAUUAGCUAGUCGGUGGGGUAAAGGCUCACCUAGGCGACGAUCUCUAGCUGGUCUGAGAGGAUGAUCAGCCACACUGGGACUGAGACACGGCCCAGACUCCUACGGAGGCAGCAGUGGGGAAUAUUGGACAAUGGGCGAAAGCCUGAUGCAGCCAUGCCGCGUGUAUGAAGAAGGCCUUAGGGUUGUAAAGUACUUUCAGUCGUGAGGCGGUACCGACAGAAGAAGCACCGGCUAACUACGUGCCAGCAGCCGCGGUAAUAC
RNAcentral lists this ribosomal RNA (403 nucleotides) under uncultured bacterium. RNAcentral describes it as "partial 16S ribosomal RNA". It matches the Rfam family "Bacterial small subunit ribosomal RNA", at positions 30 to 526 of the family's 1533-position model. The record is from RNAcentral.